Molecule: ribosomal RNA, 736 nt
Filed under: Pseudomonas sp. M47C11B
Lineage: Bacteria; Pseudomonadati; Pseudomonadota; Gammaproteobacteria; Pseudomonadales; Pseudomonadaceae
Description: bacterial SSU rRNA
Rfam family: Bacterial small subunit ribosomal RNA
Source: RNAcentral
UGCAAGUCGAGCGGUAGAGAGAAGCUUGCUUCUCUUGAGAGCGGCGGACGGGUGAGUAAUGCCUAGGAAUCUGCCUGGUAGUGGGGGAUAACGUCCGGAAACGGACGCUAAUACCGCAUACGUCCUACGGGAGAAAGCAGGGGACCUUCGGGCCUUGCGCUAUCAGAUGAGCCUAGGUCGGAUUAGCUAGUUGGUGGGGUAAUGGCUCACCAAGGCGACGAUCCGUAACUGGUCUGAGAGGAUGAUCAGUCACACUGGAACUGAGACACGGUCCAGACUCCUACGGGAGGCAGCAGUGGGGAAUAUUGGACAAUGGGCGAAAGCCUGAUCCAGCCAUGCCGCGUGUGUGAAGAAGGUCUUCGGAUUGUAAAGCACUUUAAGUUGGGAGGAAGGGCAGUAAAUUAAUACUUUGCUGUUUUGACGUUACCGACAGAAUAAGCACCGGCUAACUCUGUGCCAGCAGCCGCGGUAAUACAGAGGGUGCAAGCGUUAAUCGGAAUUACUGGGCGUAAAGCGCGCGUAGGUGGUUCGUUAAGUUGGAUGUGAAAUCCCCGGGCUCAACCUGGGAACUGCAUUCAAAACUGACGAGCUAGAGUAUGGUAGAGGGUGGUGGAAUUUCCUGUGUAGCGGUGAAAUGCGUAGAUAUAGGAAGGAACACCAGUGGCGAAGGCGACCACCUGGACUGAUACUGACACUGAGGUGCGAAAGCGUGGGGAGCAAACAGGAUUAGAUACCC